This 73-nucleotide ribosomal RNA is filed under the name Escherichia coli. The record is from RNAcentral. RNAcentral also lists the same sequence under 1 other name. Lineage: Bacteria; Pseudomonadati; Pseudomonadota; Gammaproteobacteria; Enterobacterales; Enterobacteriaceae.
UCUGGCGGCAGUAGCGCGGUGGUCCCACCUGACCCCAUGCCGAACUCAGAAGUGAAACGCCGUAGCGCCGAUG